Molecule: ribosomal RNA, 1927 nt
Filed under: human gut metagenome
Description: bacterial LSU rRNA
Rfam family: Bacterial large subunit ribosomal RNA
Source: RNAcentral
UCAAGUGACUAAGUGCAUGUGGCGGAUGCCUUGGCGAUCACAGGCGAAGAAAGACGCGGCAGCCUGCGAAAAGCUGCGGGGAGCUGGCAAACGAGCAUUGAUCCGCAGAUAUCUGAAUGGGGGAACCCACACCGCAAGGUGUAUCCGUAGCUGAAUACAUAGGUUACGGAGGCGAACGAGGAGAACUGAAACAUCUAAGUAUCCUCAGGAAAAGAAAUCAACCGAGAUUCCGGCAGUAGCGGCGAGCGAACCCGGAGGAGCCCAGCUUUUGAUAGUACGAACUUUAGCCGAAAGGUCCUGGAAAGGCCUGUUAUAGAGGGUGAUAGCCCCGUAGGCGAAAGAGUUCGUAUGGUACUAAGGAAGCGAGAAGUAGAGCGGGACACGUGGAAUCCUGUUCGAAGACGGGGGGACCAUCCUCCAAGGCUAAAUACUCGUGAUCGACCGAUAGUGAACCAGUACCGUGAGGGAAAGGCGAAAAGAACCCCGGGAGGGGAGUGAAAUAGAACCUGAAACCGCAUGCAUACAAACAGUAGGAGCCUCAUCAGAGGUGACUGCGUACCUUUUGCAUAAUGGGUCAGCGACUUACAUUCUGUGGCGAGCUUAACCGAAUAGGGGAGGCGCAGCGAAAGCGAGUUCGAAAUGAGCGUCCAGUCGCAGGGUGUAGACCCGAAACCAGAUGAGCUAUCCAUGGCCAGGUUGAAGGUGUGGUAACACACACUGGAGGACCGAACCGACUAGUGUUGCAAAAUUAGCGGAUGAGCUGUGGAUAGGGGUGAAAGGCCAAACAAAUCUGGAGAUAGCUGGUUCUCCCCGAAAACUAUUGAGGUAGUGCCUCGUGUGUCGCUCCAGGGGGUAGAGCACUGUUUUGGCUAGGGGGACAUGGAGUCUUACCAAACCAAGGCAAACUCCGAAUACCUGGAAGCGUGAGCACGGGAGACAGAGCACCGGGUGCUAACGUCCGGACUCAAAAGGGAAACAACCCAGACCGCCGGCUAAGGUCCCAAAUAACAGCUAAGUGGAAAACGAAGUGGAAAGGCCGUGACAACCAGGAAGUUGGCUUAGAAGCAGCCAUCCUUCAAAGAAAGCGUAAUAGCUCACUGGUCGAGUCCUUCUGCGCGGAAGAUGUAACGGGGCUAAGCUGUUAACCGAAGCCGCGGAUGCACUGGUAAUCCAGUGCGUGGUAGGGGAGCGUUCUGUAAGUCUGCGAAGGCGGUUCGAGAGGACUGCUGGAGAUAUCAGAAGUGCGAAUGCUGACAUGAGUAACGUUAAAGCAGGUGAAAAGCCUGCUCGCCGUAAGCCCAAGGAUUCCUGCUCUACGUUCAUCGGAGCAGGGUGAGUCGGCUCCUAAGGUCAGGCCGAAAGGCGUAGCCGAUGGGAAUCAGGUUAAUAUUCCUGAACCUGCGUCAGAUGCGAUGGGGGGACGGAGCAUGAAAGAUCAUCCGGGUGUUGGAAGUCCCGGUUGACGAGCGUAGGAGGUCUGCAGGCAAAUCCGCAGACAAUUCUCCAAGGCAAAGACACGUGCCGCCACGGCGGCGAAGUGAUCGGAAGUGCUUCCAAGAAAAGCCUCUAAGCCCCAGUCUGACGCGGACCGUACCGCAAACCGACACUGGUGGGCGAGCUGAAUAUGCUCAGGCGCUUGAGAGAACUCGGGAGAAGGAACUCGGCAAAUUGACACCGUAACUUCGGAAGAAGGUGUGCCGUAGUAGCGUGAGAGGAGAGACUCCUCGAGCGUGAAUCGGUCUCAGAGAAUAGGUGGCUGCGACUGUUUAUUAAAAACACAGCACUCUGCAAAGUCGAAAGACGACGUAUAGGGUGUGAUGCCUGCCCGGUGCUGGAAGAUUAAUUGAUGGGGUGAGAGCCCUUGAUCGAAGUCCCAGUAAACGGCGGCCGUAACUAUAACGGUCCUAAGGUAGCGAAAUUCCUUGUC